GUUGGAGCAGAUCCAGAAGCAUACGUGGUAUCUAGCUGGAAAGAACGAGCCAGAACCCGAGCAGCCCGUCCCCAGGAAGGUGGCCAUCAGAACACUUGCUUCGGUCGAAGAGAUCGACCCCGACGUCCUGGAGAGCAUGCACUCCCUGGGCUGCUUCAGAGACAAGGACAAACUGACCAAAGAUCUGCUGUCUGAGGAGGACAACCAGGAAAAGAUGAUCUACUUCUUGCUACUGGACCGGAAGGAGAGGUAUCCCAGCCACGAGGACCAGAACCUGCCACCACGCAACGAGAUCG
Molecule: non-coding RNA, 296 nt
Organism: Neolamprologus brichardi
Lineage: Eukaryota; Metazoa; Chordata; Actinopteri; Cichliformes; Cichlidae
Source: RefSeq, a predicted model, not a curated record